This 1671-nucleotide unclassified non-coding RNA is filed under the name Hevea brasiliensis (rubber tree). The record is from RNAcentral. Lineage: Eukaryota; Viridiplantae; Streptophyta; Magnoliopsida; Malpighiales; Euphorbiaceae.
CUUGGACUGUCAAGUCUUGUUUCACUUUUGAUCCCAAAAUUGCUGCUACUGUGUUAGACAAUGGCCAACAAGGUUUCCAAUUUCUCGGAUCUGAUCCAACGUGUCACUGCUUCUUGCUUGCUCCACCCACUUUCCUCCAACGGCCACAUCUCUGGUGCUCGUGACGCCGACGAAUCUGAAGAUGACAAGUACACUACCGAAGAAGAAGAAGAAGAACACUCACCUUAUGUGGAAACUCUGGAAAAAUUCCAGAAUUUCGAGGUAAAAAAUGAGGAGAUAAGAACUGAGAAAGUAAAUGAAAUGGAAAUGCUUUUAGGGGAAGUGUUUGAUGCAGUGUCGGCAAUGAAGAAGGCUUACGUUAGUCUACAGGAGGCGCAUUGUCCUUGGGAUCAGGAUAAAAUGCGCGUGGCUGACGUGGCUGUGAUAUCUGAACUGCGAAGGCUUGGAGUGUUGAGGGAAAGAUUCCGGCGGAAUGUCGGCGGUGGAAGUGAAAGAGGGGACUGGAGAGUCGGGGUGGCGACGCUGAGAGAAGUGGUGGCGCCGUAUGAGUCAGCCGUGGAAGAACUGAAGCAAGAGGUGAAGGCAAAGGAUAUUGAGAUCGAUGAUUUGAAGGAAAAGCUAAAAACGGCGACGUUGCUUAGCAGCAAUAGUGGAAAGAAAAACAAGUCAAAACGGAGAGUUAACUGCAGCAGUCAAGCUCCAGUUAAUAUGUCGCCGGCACCUGACCUGUUCGAAUCUACAGUGAGCUCAGUAAAAGAAGCCUCAAAAUCCUUCACGAGUAUGCUCCUCUCUUUGAUGCGCUCUGCUCACUGGGACAUUGCGGCGGCAGUGAGAUCCAUUGAAGCUGCUUCAUCUAACUCCACCACACCAACGGCGGAUUCAAUUGUCGGAGCCAACCAUGCAAAAUACGCACUGGAAUCUUAUGUGAACCGCAAAAUGUUCCAAGGAUUCGAUCACGAGACGUUCUACAUGGACGGAAGCUUGUCAUCACUCCUCCACCCAGACCAGCACCGCCGGGAGUGUUAUACACAGUACAGGGACAUGAAAGCCAUGGACCCAAUGGAACUUCUGGGAAUUCUCCCAACUUGUAGUUUUGGGAACUUCUGUUUCAAGAAGUAUUUGGCCAUCGUGCAUCCUAAAAUGGAGGAGUCUUUGUUUGGUGAUUUGGAGCAGAGGCGUCAGGUACUGGCUGGGAACCAUCCGAGGAGUCAGUUUUACGGAGAGUUUCUUGGGCUAGCAAAGGCCGUUUGGCUGCUGCAUUUGCUGGCCUUUUCUUUGGAUCCUCCGCCAAGUCACUUUGAGACAAGCAAUGGAUCGGAGUUUCACCCCAAGUACAUGGAAAGUGUGGUGAAGUAUUCCAUUUCCAUGGGGAUAGGAGGGAGAAUGGGUAUGGGUCUAGUUGUCGGGUUUCCAGUAAGUCCCGGGUUUAAGCUUGGAAAUGGAUCAGUUGUUAAGGCUAGGGUUUAUUUAGUCCCCAAAAAUGGGUUUUAAGUUUGGGAUGGACAUAAAUUAGUCAUGCAUUACUUGCCUUGUCUAUGUAUUAGUCGUAUUAGUUGGUAUCAAAAUAAAAACUGAUAUAUUUGACUUGGGGAUCUUUUCCGUGCAAAACAAUGAUUGAAAUUAUGUCUUUUGUUUGCCCGGUAAACUUCAAAAGGUUAGUAUAAGUUUUGC